RNAcentral lists this ribosomal RNA (228 nucleotides) under uncultured bacterium. RNAcentral's name for it is "partial 16S ribosomal RNA". It matches the Rfam family "Bacterial small subunit ribosomal RNA", at positions 524 to 751 of the family's 1533-position model. The record is from RNAcentral.
UACGUAGGGUGCAAGCGUUAAUCGGAAUUACUGGGCGUAAAGCGUGCGCAGGCGGUUUUGUAAGUCUGUCGUGAAAUCCCCGGGCUCAACCUGGGAAUUGCGAUGGAGACUGCAAGGCUAGAAUCUGGCAGAGGGGGUAGAAUUCCACGUGUAGCAGUGAAAUGCGUAGAGAUGUGGAGGAACGACCGAUGGCGAAGGCAGCCCCCUGGGUCAAGAUUGACGCUCAUG